GAAUUAUGUGGCUCCUUCAUGUACUUUUUGAUUGAACAGUGAUAACUCAGAUAAUACAUUAUCCCGUGCCCCUCUCUGAGAGGAACCUGCCUUUUUUUUUUUUUUUUUUUCUUUUUUUUUUUUUUUUUUUUUUUUUUAACAGAGCAGUGAAAGAAGACUUCAUAGAGGCAUUUAAAGUGACAUCACCAUGCCAAUCCCAACUUACUACAACCGGCGAGAAGCAACUGCUAGACCAGAUUAAAUACGACGAAGGCAGGGAAAGAAUAUCUGACCCUCAGGAACUUCCAUGGUGGGAGCCAGGAACCUUCAGUUGCUGAGUAGGUAACAGACAAUAUCUCUACAGCUUCUUUGAAAAAGUGACACUUGAAGCAGUAUCUAAAUAAUGAGAAAAGGCAGACAUAUGAAGUUCUGAAGAAGAUAGGGGUGCCUGGGUGGCUCAAUGAGUUAAGCAUCUGACUCUUGAUUUCAACUCAGGUCAUGAUUUCAGGGUUGUGAGAUACGGCUCCGUGCUCAGUGGGGAGUCUGCUGGACAUCCUGCUCUGCCCCUAUCUCUUAUAUAGUAAAUAAACAAAACUUUAAAAGGAAAAGAUCUGAAGAAAACACAUUUUAGACCAAGAGAACAGCAGGAAUAAAGACUAAAUGGGGUAAACUUGGUGUUUGUGAGGGAUAUAAAAUCUCUGGAUGGCUGGAGCAUAGUAGACAGGGGAAAAGAAACAGCAGACAAGAUCCAAGUGGUAUCAGAGGCCUGCCAUGUCCGAUCUUAAAGAUUAUGGAAAGAAAUUUGCAUAGUAUUUUUAUUCCAUGAGGCAACCAUUGGAGGAUUGAAGGGUUAUAGGCAAGAAAGUGAUAUGACCCUUGUUUGUGGUAUCCACUUAAAAUUUAGAAAUAUAUACAUAUAUAUUUUUUUAUUUAGAUUGAAAAAAUUUUAUAGCAACCUUAAAGAAUUUUAGGAAAAAUAAUUAUUGAUACUCUUUUCAUUUCUGCCUAUUCUCUUCAAAUGUUGCCCAGAUGCAUAUCUAGUUUUAUAUAUCUGCUCAUUGUACCUAUAUGUUUACAUUGUAUUCUUUUUACUGAAUAUUAUAUACUACACAUUGUCCAACUCUAGGGAUAAUGCAGCAUCGCGAAUUUGUCUUCACAAACAUCCUUUAGGUUGAACAUUAGGAAGGAGAUUACAGCGUCACAAGAUAGAAAAUUUUAUUUAAAAUGCAAUACGUAUUGUCACUGAGGUUUCUGAAAGAGUUGCAUUGAUUUAUAACGCUACUGAAGUCCACAGGUAUAUUAGUUCCACCAGUUAUAUAACUGCUGAAUUUGCAGCCGUAAUAUUAUCCAGGCUGUUCUCAUUUUCAUUUCUUCGAUAACGAGUGCCACCCAAGCUCAGCGAGGCCACAGGAAAGCAGUGGGUGGGGCAGGAGGAAGAAGUGAGAGAGGAGGCAUCGUUUCUCUGGCCCAGCCUCCACCUCUAGGGUUGUGAAAUCACAGCCUGACCUACACUCUGUCCCUUCCCUGGGAUUCCUGGCGUGUCUUGCCGGUGGUAUCUCCUUUGCUGUGGUUCCCACUGGUGGUGGCUUCAGGGUCGGCUCCGUGCCUCAGUGCAUGGGUCUUCGUGCCCUCCUCCCCCUCUAGAUGGCCCAUAUGUCCUCGCCGUCUGGACGUAGGUGGCUGUUCCCUGCCUCCCUGCUUCUAGUGCUAAGUUACUGAAAUGAGGGAAUUGCCACCGUCCCCACAGCUACCAUGUUUGCUGCAAAUCUCCAUUUUCUUACAGAGAUUCAGUCAUUCACUCAUGUAACAACUAAUUAUUGAUAGUGUAUCAGUCAAAAUCUCAGCAGUAAACAGGUGGCAUCUUCAAACUGGGUAACUGAGAAGAGUUUGAUAAAAGGAGUAUUUGCAAAUAUGGGCAGGAGUUCAGGAAGCCAAGAAGGGCAAGAAAUAGAUCCUGCUGCCACCUAAAGGGUCAAGAGGAGAGAGUGGUUACAGAAAGCUUGAUGGAAAGGAGCUGUGCCUGGAGAGGGAUGAAGGCAAUCUCUAGCAAACCAGCAAGGAGGACAUCGGGGAAAUAUGUGCCCCAGUUUCAGCCUCCUCCUUCCCCCUGGCCAUAGCCUCCAUUGGUUGAAUCUGAUCAGAGGCCAUAAAGCAAAAGAGCCUCUUUAAUGGAGUCAGGAGUUGGAGGACACAGCGGCAGCAUCAUUGCUCAUGGAGAUAAAACUCCUGGG
Molecule: long non-coding RNA, 2210 nt
Filed under: Canis lupus familiaris (dog)
Lineage: Eukaryota; Metazoa; Chordata; Mammalia; Carnivora; Canidae
Description: lncRNA (ENSCAFG00845021699.1)
Source: RNAcentral